GCCGCCGCCGCCGCCGGGCUUGCGGGCAUUGGCGGCCGCGGGCUGCUGCUGCUGCUGCUGCUGCUGCUGGGGCUUCAGCGACAUGGGGGUAACACCUUUUCCAGAAAUCCCCAGCAGACUUCCUUCUCCAUCACACUGGACGAAAUAAAGUCACAUGACCAUCUCUGACCGAUCUCUUGCACAGGGGAAGAGGAUUGACAUGAUCAACUAUGACCAAUCAUGAUUCACCUCUUUGCUAAGAGAGCAGCACAGCUGUCCAGAUAUUCACCCUCUCUGAGUUUCUCGGCUGGAUGAAGAGGGUCAAGAGCUACUGAAUGUUGAGUGAAACUGCCAGAAGGUAAAGAAAGAGCUGCAGGC
Mesoplodon densirostris (Blainville's beaked whale) is the source of this 357-nucleotide long non-coding RNA. RefSeq lists it as uncharacterized. The record is from RefSeq and is a predicted model, not a curated record. NCBI's taxonomy places the organism in Eukaryota, Metazoa, Chordata, Mammalia, Artiodactyla, Ziphiidae. The transcript has 3 exons.